This 379-nucleotide ribosomal RNA is filed under the name uncultured Prevotella sp. RNAcentral's name for it is "bacterial SSU rRNA". It matches the Rfam family "Bacterial small subunit ribosomal RNA", at positions 355 to 731 of the family's 1533-position model. The record is from RNAcentral. Lineage: Bacteria; Pseudomonadati; Bacteroidota; Bacteroidia; Bacteroidales; Prevotellaceae.
UGAGGAAUAUUGGUCAAUGGACGGGAGUCUGAACCAACCAAGUAGCGUGCAGGAUGACGGCCCUAUGGGUUGUAAACUGCUUUUAUAGGGGGAUAAAGUGUGCCACGUGUGGCAUAUUGCAGGUACCCUAUGAAUAAGGACCGGCUAAUUCCGUGCCAGCAGCCGCGGUAAUACGGAAGGUCCGGGCGUUAUCCGGAUUUAUUGGGUUUAAAGGGAGCGCAGGCGGGCUUUUAAGUCAGUUGUGAAAUACGGCGGCUCAACCGUCGGACUGCAGUUGAUACUGGAAGCCUUGAGUUCACACAGGGAUGUCGGAAUUCAUGGUGUAGCGGUGAAAUGCUCAGAUAUCAUGAAGAACCCCGAUCGCGAAGGCAGGCAUCCG